RNAcentral lists this long non-coding RNA (2020 nucleotides) under Nicotiana tabacum (common tobacco). RNAcentral's name for it is "long non-coding RNA (NTAB_LNC018010)". Lineage: Eukaryota; Viridiplantae; Streptophyta; Magnoliopsida; Solanales; Solanaceae. The record is from RNAcentral.
AAUUUGAGAGAUGAGAUUUAAAGCUCUGAAAGUCCAAGAAAGCUGUGGGAAAAUAUGGCAAUCUUAGGACUUUUUUUUACCAUUUGGAGUUCAAGAGAUCUGCAUUUUUAAGGUAAAUUCUUGAAAAAUGUCUUAGAGGAGUAGUAGUUUUCAUUUUUUUUCCUCUUUAAAUUGCUCAUGAGUUACAUAACUCCAUAAUUUGGCAUACUUUAUGUGAAUUCUCUGAGUAUUUAUAAAACUUAUCUAUAGAAAAUUCAAAUUUAGAGAAGAAUUAUGGUUUUUAAUUAUAUUUUUAUGAUUAAGUAUGAAAAACUAGAUCCACAUUUUGGAAAGGAGAAAAUUCUGGAUUUUCUCAUUUUCUACAUUCAUAUAUCUUUAAUGGGAUUUGAUUUUUUAUUUUUUAUUUUUUUUGAUUUGCUUGACUUUUAUGAUUGAUCAAUUUGUGGGUAGUUCAAUCAAGUGGUGAAAACUAAGAGAAAAUGGCAGCGAAGAUUCCCUGGCUUUCAUCAAUUAUUGAUGCAUAGUUCAUUUUGUUUGCCUCUUUGUUUUUGCUCUCUGUGAUCUCAUACAUUUCCGUGAAAAAAGUUAAUUUUUUUUGUUACUAUGUGAGAAAAAAUAAAAUCAUUUUCCUUUAACCCCCCAACACCUUUCCUUCUCUCUCACCAUUUGGAGUAAAAAUACCUAAAAAGACAAAAAUAUUAAUUCCCACCUUACAAAUAAAAUUACCCGUAAUCAUGGAUUUUUCUUAGUACAUUUUUAAGUAUACCCUGACAAUGCAAAUUAACCAUUAAUAAACGCCUAAGAAAUCCCUUAUCAUCCAUCCCAAAUUAAUUAAAGGCUAUGUAUAUAUUAAACUAAAUUCUGGGGUUAAUUAAAUUACUGUCUAGUCAUUUACCAUUAAUGAUAAACUGAAGUAUUAUUAAGAUUUUGUAAAUUGUGAUAAGCCAAUUGCUUAAAGGCAUAGGUAAUCUCAAAAAAUGUCAUAUUGUUGCCUCUUAGCUUCUUUUCUCUGAUUUCAUCCAAUCAAGUCUAACUAUGAGCCUAAUAUACUUUUAAAAAAUCAUAGAAUUUGCAUUAGUAUAUCAUCAUUGCGUUAAAUAUUUAAGCGUUAUGAUUACAAACUUUGUUUACCAUUUGAUGUUUCCACUCAAACUUGAUUAGAAUUCCACAAUGCUAAAUGCUAAUUUGGAAUCCAACAUCUGCUAAUUACAUCUUAAUUAAAGUAUUAUUUCAAUCUUAUAUAAUAAAAAUAAUCUUAAAGUAAUUUAUUUUAUUUGUAGGGCAGGAUGUAAGGAGGGGUAAAAGGGGUUGCUUUCAACAUAUAACUGAUAGUUAAGCAAUUCAUAAUAAUUUUGAGGAUAAGUAAUUUAACUUACUAUACCUGUUAACAUGCAUUUCCCAUGGGAAUGAAUAAAUCUUUGAAUUGAUAGGUAACUAGUAGGGUAUACUCUAUGUUUUGGUUUAAAUAGGCCAGACAAUAAGGGAUGACUGCUCUCUGAACUUUAAAAAGUAUAUAUAGUACUCCUAUUAUUUACACAUAAUCUAAUCUUUUUUGUUUUAACCUCUCAAACUAACAUAAAUAUCCAAAGAAGGUAUCAACAAAAAUUAGAUUUAUCAUGAGACAACUCAUGUUGUUCAUAUCGAUCUAUUAUGCAUCUCUACAUCCUGUAUUAAAUAAAUGAUCUUGAGUCAUCAUAAUGUUCCUAUAUAUGUAAGGUAUUUUUUCCUCAAUUGUUUUAAAUUAGAAAAUGUUCAACCAUCUUUGCUCGUGCUAGUGCUCCCAGAAAUUAUUGGGUGUUCAAGAAUUUGUUUAGACAGUUCAUAUCAUUCAUACAUAGUAUUUUGAUAUAAGGUUUUAGUUCUUUUGUGUUUCAGCAGUAACAUAUUCUUCCAUGGAGCUGAGGUCCAAAAUACGGAAGAAACAAUCAUUUUCAUGACUUUACCACCGAGUCAUUUUCUAAUUAUGUUCUAUAUAGAGGACAUAUAGUACACACAUCAUUUAGCUUCUCUUCGAACCAUA